AGGUGUUGUUGGGUAGGGGAGCGUUCUGUAAGCCUGCGAAGGUGGCCUGUGAGGGUUGCUGGAGGUAUCAGAAGUGCGAAUGCUGACAUAAGUAACGAUAAAGCGGGUGAAAAGCCCGCUCGCCGGAAGACCAAGGGUUCCUGUCCAACGUUAAUCGGGGCAGGGUGAGUCGACCCCUAAGGCGAGGCCGAAAGGCGUAGUCGAUGGGAAACGGGUUAAUAUUCCCGUACUUGGUGUUACUGCGAAGGGGGGACGGAGAAGGCUAUGUUGGCCGGGCGACGGUUGUCCCGGUUUAAGCGUGUAGGUGUGUGUUCCAGGUAAAUCCGGUUCACUUUAACACUGAGGCGUGACGACGAGGCACUACGGUGCUGAAGCAACAAAUGCCCUGCUUCCAGGAAAAGCCUCUAAGCAUCAGGUAACAUCAAAUCGUACCCCAAACCGACACAGGUGGUCAGGUAGAGAAUACCAAGGCGCUUGAGAGAACUCGGGUGAAGGAACUAGGCAAAAUGGUGCCGUAACUUCGGGAGAAGGCACGCUGACA
This 541-nucleotide ribosomal RNA is filed under the name Salmonella enterica subsp. enterica serovar Bredeney. Its description in RNAcentral is "partial 23S ribosomal RNA". It matches the Rfam family "Bacterial large subunit ribosomal RNA", at positions 1216 to 1756 of the family's 2925-position model. Lineage: Bacteria; Pseudomonadati; Pseudomonadota; Gammaproteobacteria; Enterobacterales; Enterobacteriaceae. The record is from RNAcentral.